Molecule: long non-coding RNA, 1574 nt
Filed under: Daphnia pulex (common water flea)
Lineage: Eukaryota; Metazoa; Arthropoda; Branchiopoda; Diplostraca; Daphniidae
Description: uncharacterized LOC124191417, transcript variant X1
Source: RNAcentral
UUAAACUAUAGGUGAAUCAUAACAAUACCAGCUAACCUUGGAUUGGAAUUCAAAAACACAAAACAAGGCUGGCUGCUAAUCAAUCAGGGCAAGGUUAAAGAAAAAUCUGGUACAAUAGCCGUACGGUUUUUUAUAUACCGAAAAGCAUUCAUUCAUCAUGGAGUCCAGGAUGAUUUACGAUGUGAUGGUAGAACAUUGCUGGAUUAUCACCCUAUAAUUCUUGAAACUACAUUAGUUUCCAAUGCCAGUGAAUCGGCAAGGCUGAGACUUGCAAACUCAUCAACAUCUGGAAAAUGAAAUUUGCAAAUUCCUACGAAGAUCCUAUGCUUCAGCUGAUGUGAUAUUUCCACCAGUCCUGAUGUAUCAACACUGGUGCAGAGUCUACGACAAGCCAUGGCCCUUGAAGCUAAAUUCCAACCAAAGCUUCAACUUCUGUCAACACUCAACAGCCAGCAAUACAGGAGAAAGCGGUGAAAUUAUGUGUGCAAUGAGGGAUGGAGCUGCUCAUGUUCUUCGCUGCAUGAAAGUCUGGUAUGAUCUUCCUUAUGCAGUUCUUCUGGAUGCUCUCAACAUGAUGGACUGGUUCAUGAGCCGCAUGAAAGCACUCCUAAACACCUCUCAUGCAUAGCAAUCAGCUCCUUCCAUCUAGCAGCUUGCCAAUGGAUGGAGACGAUUAAACAGAACAACAUUGAGGUAUCUUCCAUUCAGAGUCCAUUAUUGUUCCUGAACCUUAAUAUCUGGUAACGAUAUCUUAAUGUAAAUGUACCGCCGGAGACAUCAACCGGAUGGAAAAAAUUGUCGAAGCCAAGUUAGCUUGUCUACCCCAAGAAGAACCGGUCACGACCUUAACAUUCCUCAACCUGUAUCACUCACUUCUCUCGACGACUUUACCUGCCGCUCUUCAGCAAGACCUUCUUAUUCUUUCAUGCAAGCAGGAGACCAUUUGCUGUGACGCAAAAUAAUGCUGCCUUUCCCUCAUCUCUUUUGGCUUUCGUCCUACUGUUUGUCGAAAUGAAGUGUCACCAGCCGGCCAUCGAGGUUAUUAUCAGAGACGUUUUACUAGAACUUCAGCGACUUGUUCAGGUCAAAGAUGACUAGUUGAAGGAGUGUAUAAGAAUGGCCACUUCGGCAAUGGCACCUUACGAUGGCUAUGCCCAAAGCAAUCCGUCUCAUCGUCAACGACUUACCUGGAAGUUGUCCUUUUUCUACUAUUUCUUUGCCUUCUAAACCAUUUAUAAUAAGUUUUGCCUUUAGUAAAGCAAAAUGCCUAGCUUUUUCUAGUCCUAUACCACUUACUUGUUGAGCCUGUGUAAAUUCGGGUCUCAGUGAUAUAUGAUUACCACUCUUAACAAGAAAACUAGAUAUUUCUUUAGUCACUACAUCAGAAGUUUCUCCAAGUGUGCGGUCGAAAAUUUUAGUCAAAAUUCCCUUCAUAGAUAAGAGAAAUAGAGCCGUAAUUUCAUCCUAUAAACGUUCAAUUAAUCUAUCAAAAAUCUUAUCUUGUUUAGGGUGGUUAUUAACCUUAUAUGUUAUUUAUAUAAAUUUAAAUACUAUAAAUAAUGGUUCGAAAUUAA